GACGAACCGUACGAACGUUAUUCGGAAUCACUGGGCUUAAAGGGUGCGUAGGCGGCGCGGAAAGUUGGGUGUGAAAGCCCUCGGCUCAACCGAGGAAUUGCGCCCAAAACUACCGUGCUUGAGUGAGAUAGAGGUGAGCGGAACUUAGGGUGGAGCGGUGAAAUGCGUUGAUAUCCUAAGGAACACCGGUGGCGAAAGCGGCUCACUGGAUCUUUUCUGACGCUGAGGCACGAAAGCUAGGGGAGCAAACGGG
RNAcentral lists this ribosomal RNA (253 nucleotides) under uncultured bacterium. RNAcentral's name for it is "partial 16S ribosomal RNA". It matches the Rfam family "Bacterial small subunit ribosomal RNA", at positions 524 to 776 of the family's 1533-position model. The record is from RNAcentral.